Molecule: microRNA, 22 nt
Organism: Caenorhabditis elegans
Lineage: Eukaryota; Metazoa; Nematoda; Chromadorea; Rhabditida; Rhabditidae
Source: Ensembl
CAACCACUGGAAUUUCUCUAUU